ACGGAGGGUGCAAGCGUUAUCCGGAUUCACUGGGUUUAAAGGGUGCGUAGGCGGACAGGUAAGUCAGUGGUGAAAUCUCUGGGCUUAACCCAGAAACUGCCGUUGAUACUAUUUGUCUUGAAUAUCCUGGAGGUAGGCGGAAUAUGUCAUGUAGCGGUGAAAUGCUUAGAUAUGACAUAGAACACCGAUAGCGAAGGCAGCUUACUACAGGAUGAUUGACGCUGAGGCACGAAAGCGUGGGGAGCAAACAGGA
RNAcentral lists this ribosomal RNA (253 nucleotides) under uncultured prokaryote. RNAcentral describes it as "partial 16S ribosomal RNA". It matches the Rfam family "Bacterial small subunit ribosomal RNA", at positions 525 to 777 of the family's 1533-position model. The record is from RNAcentral.